This 429-nucleotide ribosomal RNA is filed under the name bacterium. Its description in RNAcentral is "partial 16S ribosomal RNA". It matches the Rfam family "Bacterial small subunit ribosomal RNA", at positions 355 to 776 of the family's 1533-position model. The record is from RNAcentral.
UAGGGAAUCUUCGGCAAUGGGGGCAACCCUGACCGAGCAACGCCGCGUGAGUGAAGAAGGUUUUCGGAUCGUAAAGCUCUGUUGUAAGAGAAGAACGUGUGUGAGAGUGGAAAGUUCACACAGUGACGGUAACUUACCAGAAAGGGACGGCUAACUACGUGCCAGCAGCCGCGGUAAAACGUAGGUCCCGAGCGUUGUCCGGAUUUAUUGGGCGUAAAGCGAGCGCAGGCGGUUUAAUAAGUCUGAAGUUAAAGGCAGUGGCUUAACCAUUGUUCGCUUUGGAAACUGUUAAACUUGAGUGCAGAAGGGGAGAGUGGAAUUCCAUGUGUAGCGGUGAAAUGCGUAGAUAUAUGGAGGAACACCGGUGGCGAAAGCGGCUCUCUGGUCUGUAACUGACGCUGAGGCUCGAAAGCGUGGGGAGCAAACAGG